GACGAACGCUGGCGGCGUGCUUAACACAUGCAAGUCGAACGGUGAAGCGCCUUCCUUUUUGGUGGGUGUGGAUGAGUGGCGAACGGGUGAGUAACACGUGAGUAACCUGCCCCCUUCUUCUGGAUAACCGCAUGAAAGUGUGGCUAAUACGGGAUAUUCUGUGCCUGCUGCAUGGUGGGUGUGGGAAAGAUUGCGCCCUUUUUGGGUGUUUUUGGUGGGGGAUGGGCUCGCGGCCUAUCAGCUUGUUGGUGGGGUGAUGGCCUACCAAGGCGGUGACGGGUAGCCGGCCUGAGAGGGUGGACGGUCACACUGGGACUGAGACACGGCCCAGACUCCUACGGGAGGCAGCAGUGGGGAAUAUUGCACAAUGGGCGCAAGCCUGAUGCAGCGACGCCGCGUGAGGAUGGAGGCCUUCGGGUUGUGAACCUCUUUCGCCAGUGAAGCAGGCCUGCCCCUGGUGGGUGGGUUGACGGUAGCUGGAUAAGAAGCGCCGGCUAACUACGUGCCAGCAGCCGCGGUAAUACGUAGGGCGCGAGCGUUGUCCGGAAUUAUUGGGCGUAAAGAGCUCGUAGGCGGCUGGUCGCGUCUGUCGUGAAAUCCUCUGGCUUAACUGGGGGCUUGCGGUGGGUACGGGCCGGCUUGAGUGCGGUAGGGGAGACUGGAACUCCUGGUGUAGCGGUGGAAUGCGCAGAUAUCAGGAAGAACACCGGUGGCGAAGGCGGGUCUCUGGGCCGUUACUGACGCUGAGGAGCGAAAGCGUGGGGAGCGAACAGGAUUAGAUACCCUGGUAGUCCACGCCGUAAACGUUGGGCACUAGGUGUGGGGGGCCUUUUCCGGGUUUUCCGCGCCGUAGCUAACGCAUUAAGUGCCCCGCCUGGGGAGUACGGCCGCAAGGCUAAAACUCAAAGGAAUUGACGGGGGCCCGCACAAGCGGCGGAGCAUGCGGAUUAAUUCGAUGCAACGCGAAGAACCUUACCAAGGCUUGACAUGUGCCGGUCGGCUCCGGAGACGGGGUUUCCUCCUUGUGGGGCCGGUUCACAGGUGGUGCAUGGUUGUCGUCAGCUCGUGUCGUGAGAUGUUGGGUUAAGUCCCGCAACGAGCGCAACCCUUGUCUCGUGUUGCCAGCACGUUGUGGUGGGGACUCGCGGGAGACUGCCGGGGUCAACUCGGAGGAAGGUGGGGAUGACGUCAAAUCAUCAUGCCCCUUAUGUCUUGGGCUUCACGCAUGCUACAAUGGCCGGUACAGAGGGCUGCGAUACCGUGAGGUGGAGCGAAUCCCUUAAAGCCGGUCUCAGUUCGGAUCGGUGUCUGCAACUCGACACCGUGAAGUUGGAGUCGCUAGUAAUCGCAGAUCAGCAACGCUGCGGUGAAUACGUUCUCGGGCCUUGUACACACCGCCCGUCACGUCAUGAAAGUCGGCAACACCCGAAGCCCGUGGCCCUAUGGGGAGCGGUCGAAGGUGGGGCUGGUGAUUGGGACG
This 1480-nucleotide ribosomal RNA is filed under the name Actinomyces oris. RNAcentral's name for it is "bacterial SSU rRNA". It matches the Rfam family "Bacterial small subunit ribosomal RNA". Lineage: Bacteria; Bacillati; Actinomycetota; Actinomycetes; Actinomycetales; Actinomycetaceae. The record is from RNAcentral.